Long non-coding RNA from Rhagoletis zephyria (snowberry fruit fly), 318 nucleotides. RefSeq lists it as uncharacterized. Lineage: Eukaryota; Metazoa; Arthropoda; Insecta; Diptera; Tephritidae. The record is from RefSeq and is a predicted model, not a curated record.
AUAUGAUCCGAAAUUUCGAAAACAAGUUGAACAAAACGUUCCUGGGGCAGAAUACGUUCUCAAAGUAGCUUUAGAUUCCCAAGACCCAAUUGCAGACAUCAACAAACAAUUUGAUGGAGUGAGAAAACAAUUCGAUAAUGUCUCCAAAACGGUGGAAAGUGCCACAUCUACUGUGACUGGCUGGUUCGGCGGAGCAGAAAAACCAUCUACAAAGCAAUCUGAUGUCCAGCCGAAAACAUCUUCAUCGCCAAAGCCUGUUCCUGCUAGUUCUGUUAAAGAAGCGCCUCCUGCGUCCAAGCCUGCUACUGCCAAACCAAG